This 1394-nucleotide ribosomal RNA is filed under the name Kocuria sp. TmT2-52. Its description in RNAcentral is "16S ribosomal RNA". It matches the Rfam family "Bacterial small subunit ribosomal RNA". Lineage: Bacteria; Bacillati; Actinomycetota; Actinomycetes; Micrococcales; Micrococcaceae. The record is from RNAcentral.
AGUCGAACGAUGAUGCCCAGCUUGCUGGGCGGAUUAGUGGCGAACGGGUGAGUAAUACGUGAGUAACCUGCCCUUGACUCUGGGAUAAGCCUGGGAAACUGGGUCUAAUACUGGAUACUACCGUCCACCGCAUGGUGGGUGGUGGAAAGGGUUUUACUGGUUUUGGAUGGGCUCACGGCCUAUCAGCUUGUUGGUGGGGUAAUGGCUCACCAAGGCGACGACGGGUAGCCGGCCUGAGAGGGUGACCGGCCACACUGGGACUGAGACACGGCCCAGACUCCUACGGGAGGCAGCAGUGGGGAAUAUUGCACAAUGGGCGGAAGCCUGAUGCAGCGACGCCGCGUGAGGGAUGACGGCCUUCGGGUUGUAAACCUCUUUCAGUAGGGAAGAAGCGAGAGUGACGGUACCUGCAGAAGAAGCGCCGGCUAACUACGUGCCAGCAGCCGCGGUAAUACGUAGGGCGCAAGCGUUGUCCGGAAUUAUUGGGCGUAAAGAGCUCGUAGGCGGUUUGUCGCGUCUGCUGUGAAAGCCCGGGGCUCAACCCCGGGUCUGCAGUGGGUACGGGCAGACUAGAGUGCAGUAGGGGAGACUGGAAUUCCUGGUGUAGCGGUGAAAUGCGCAGAUAUCAGGAGGAACACCGAUGGCGAAGGCAGGUCUCUGGGCUGUUACUGACGCUGAGGAGCGAAAGCAUGGGGAGCGAACAGGAUUAGAUACCCUGGUAGUCCAUGCCGUAAACGUUGGGCACUAGGUGUGGGGGACAUUCCACGUUUUCCGCGCCGUAGCUAACGCAUUAAGUGCCCCGCCUGGGGAGUACGGCCGCAAGGCUAAAACUCAAAGGAAUUGACGGGGGCCCGCACAAGCGGCGGAGCAUGCGGAUUAAUUCGAUGCAACGCGAAGAACCUUACCAAGGCUUGACAUUCACCGGACCGCCCCAGAGAUGGGGUUUCCCUUCGGGGCUGGUGGACAGGUGGUGCAUGGUUGUCGUCAGCUCGUGUCGUGAGAUGUUGGGUUAAGUCCCGCAACGAGCGCAACCCUCGUUCUAUGUUGCCAGCACGUGAUGGUGGGGACUCAUAGGAGACUGCCGGGGUCAACUCGGAGGAAGGUGGGGAUGACGUCAAAUCAUCAUGCCCCUUAUGUCUUGGGCUUCACGCAUGCUACAAUGGCCGGUACAAAGGGUUGCGAUACUGUGAGGUGGAGCUAAUCCCAAAAAGCCGGUCUCAGUUCGGAUUGAGGUCUGCAACUCGACCUCAUGAAGUCGGAGUCGCUAGUAAUCGCAGAUCAGCAACGCUGCGGUGAAUACGUUCCCGGGCCUUGUACACACCGCCCGUCAAGUCACGAAAGUUGGUAACACCCGAAGCCGGUGGCCUAACCCCUUGUGGGAGGGAGCCGUCGAA